This 29-nucleotide non-coding RNA is filed under the name Rattus norvegicus (Norway rat). The record is from RNAcentral. Lineage: Eukaryota; Metazoa; Chordata; Mammalia; Rodentia; Muridae.
UGUCAAGGGAAGCCCUUCAUACUCUGUGA